RNAcentral lists this ribosomal RNA (882 nucleotides) under uncultured bacterium. RNAcentral describes it as "bacterial SSU rRNA". It matches the Rfam family "Bacterial small subunit ribosomal RNA", at positions 8 to 921 of the family's 1533-position model. The record is from RNAcentral.
AGAGUUUGAUCCUGGCUCAGGAUGAACGCUGGCGGCGUGCCUAACACAUGCAAGUCGAGCGAACCCUUCGGGGUGAGCGGCGGACGGGUGAGUAACGCGUGGGUAACCUGCCCUGUACACACGGAUAACAUACCGAAAGGUAUGCUAAUACGAGAUAAUAUAUUUUAAUCGCAUGGUUAAGAUAUCAAAGCUCCGGCGGUACAGGAUGGACCCGCGUCUGAUUAGCUAGUUGGUGAGGUAAUGGCUCACCAAGGCGACGAUCAGUAGCCGACCUGAGAGGGUGAUCGGCCACACUGGAACUGAGACACGGUCCAGACUCCUACGGGAGGCAGCAGUGGGGAAUAUUGCACAAUGGGCGAAAGCCUGAUGCAGCAACGCCGCGUGAGCGAUGAAGGCCUUCGGGUCGUAAAGCUCUGUCCUCAAGGAAGAUAAUGACGGUACUUGAGGAGGAAGCCCCGGCUAACUACGUGCCAGCAGCCGCGGUAAUACGUAGGGGGCUAGCGUUAUCCGGAAUUACUGGGCGUAAAGGGUGCGUAGGCGGUCUUUCAAGCCAGAAGUGAAAGGCUACGGCUCAACCGUAGUAAGCUUUUGGAACUGUAAGACUUGAGUGCAGGAGAGGAGAGUGGAAUUCCUAGUGUAGCGGUGAAAUGCGUAGAUAUUAGGAGGAACACCAGUAGCGAAGGCGGCUCUCUGGACUGUAACUGACGCUGAGGCACGAAAGCGUGGGGAGCAAACAGGAUUAGAUACCCUGGUAGUCCACGCCGUAAACGAUGAGUACUAUGUGUCGGGGGUUACCCCCCUCGGUGCCGCAGCUAACGCAUUAAGCACUCCGCCUGGGAAGUACGCUCGCAAGAGUGAAACUCAAAGGAAUUGACGGGGACC